Non-coding RNA from Malus domestica (apple), 839 nucleotides. The record is from RefSeq and is a predicted model, not a curated record. NCBI's taxonomy places the organism in Eukaryota, Viridiplantae, Streptophyta, Magnoliopsida, Rosales, Rosaceae.
GAGGCGGCGAGCGGACCGAGUGGUUGGGGUGUUUCCUUAACCGAUAUUCACAACGUGUGGCGGGCAACGGCUCCUCCUACCACAACUCUAUUAAAUCCCAAUUACCAAAACCCUCCAAAAAUUAAAUCAUAAAUCCCCAAAAUUCCAAAACUAAAACCCCCAGAAAUUAUAUAAGCGAACGGAUUAUUACCCAGAAAAAAUAAUUUAAUUUCACAGCGGUCCACUCUCUCAUCAGUCUCAGAGGCCAUGACUCCGCAACUCCAAGCUCCGUCGUUCGCCGCCGGCAUUUCGUCCUUCGUUUCUCCUCUCAACCGCUCCACGCGCCGCCCUGUAAUCCGAGCUAAAGCGGAGCCGUCAGAUAAGUCUGUUGAAAUCAUGAGGAAGUUCUCUGAGCAGUAUGCUCGCAAGUCCGGAACAUAUUUCUGUGUCGAUAAGGGAGUUACUUCUGUUGUUAUCAAGGGAUUGGCAGACCAUAAAGAUUCGUUGGGCGCACCACUCUGCCCUUGUCGGCAUUAUGAUGAUAAACCUGCCGAGGCAGGCCAAGGCUUUUGGAACUGCCCAUGUGUUCCCAUGAGAGAGAGGAAGGAAUGCCACUGCAUGCUCUUUCUCACUCCUGACAAUGAUUUUGCCGGACCGGAACAGACCAUCUCCUUGGAAGAGAUCAGAGAAUCGACAGCAAACAUGUAACAAGCUUUGAGUGUGUAUUGUAAGUUAUGUGUAAACAGUCCACUUCUGUAUUUGCAAAAAAAAAAAAAGAGGGCUCAUCUUUUGAAUCCAAUUUUUCGAGAGAAAUAAUUUCCGUACUCUUUUUCUCCUUGAUGAUCUUUUGUUUUAUUCAA